This 72-nucleotide transfer RNA is filed under the name Neolewinella agarilytica. RNAcentral's name for it is "Lewinella agarilytica tRNA". It matches the Rfam family "tRNA". Rfam says of the family: Transfer RNA (tRNA) molecules are approximately 80 nucleotides in length. Their secondary structure includes four short double-helical elements and three loops (D, anti-codon, and T loops). Lineage: Bacteria; Pseudomonadati; Bacteroidota; Saprospiria; Saprospirales; Lewinellaceae. The record is from Rfam by way of RNAcentral.
UACCCAGUCGUAUAACGGCUAUUACCUCCGGUUUUGAUCCGGAAAAUCAGGGUUCGAAUCCCUGCUGGGUGA